GGGGGGCGCCCUGCCUCUGGCCCCGUUUCGCCUCCGCUUCGGUCUCGUGGCUUCUGAAGUCUUCUAGAUGUAAGAUAAUUGCGCGCCACGUUAAUAUCUCUAUGUAAUCCCGACGUGUGGGCCUUUCUUCCAUAUUUCCUGAUAACCCCAUGCAGAAAUAGACAAACACCAAAACUCGUGGAAUUCUGUCAAAUAAAACCCUAAGUCUGGAUCUUGAUUUCAUUUGGAUCCUUUUCUUUAUUUAUUUUAUAAUUAAAUUUGAUACUUAAGGACCGUCAACAAACUCCCCCAAGCUUACCUCUUCCUCGUCCCUGAGCAAGGAUAGACUCAGCUAUGGAUCAUAAGUUGUUGCAAUAUCUUUAAAAAUUUGACGGUACACAUGCUUUUAAAUAAGAUCUCAUCUCUGAGUUAGAGUAAACUGUCAAGACUUAAAACUUACUUAUUUUACCUUCACCAUGAGACUUGUAACUGUCACUUCUGUCUUGAGUGGUUAAAAGAUAGAACAGUCUAGCCAAGUGCCAUGUCUCUUAUUCUUGAUCAGCUAUAGCUCUGGGGUUUUCGCAGAUUUUCAAAUAAAACUCAGAGAUUCCUUGUAUGACUCUCUCAAAUCUCUCUUUUGUGGUAUUUCUGGAUCCUUACCAAGGCAGUGAUGGUAUAUGCCUUCUCUCAAGAUAUGUAGUAUUUGUGGUAUGAGGCAUAGUGACAUUGCCCUCUCUCUCACCCUACUCUAAUAAGGCUUUAAUAUCUGGAGCUCAUAGGUGGGAGAUAAAAUAUACAUACUUACAAGACAUUUAUUGCAUAGUCAAACCAUGGAUCCAAAGAAACAAAUCAAUAAGUUUAAUCAAAAUGUGCAUGUGUGGCGAAUGAAUGGUGUAUGGUGAUGAUGGUGAUAACAAUGGUGAAAACAAUGGUGGUGGAAGUCUAAUUCUACUUUGCUCUUUAGAGGGGAUACAUACCUUCCUUGCUUUUUGAAACUUUAUGAGGAGAAUGAGAUGCUCUAUCUUUUUCUUGUCUCUCAGGUGGGUAUCUUGUACCCCUAAUUCUACAGUCGGACACUUGUCCAUUUUUACCUCUCGUCUCACUUUUUCUUUUCUUUCGAGGUUCCGAGCACUUGCUCCUUUUUAUUUCCUCGUCUCUCUUUUUUUUUUCUUUUCAGAGCAUUCAUCUCUUGAGAUAAUAUAGCAAGUGGUAGUAACAAGAUAACUUGAGCAUUUAUUUCACAAGGGAAAGACAGAAAUAUUUUUGGUUAUUCUCUCCCGGAUUAGGAGUAGAAUAUUUUUGGGUAAUUCUGGAGAUGGAAUGGGUGGAUAUAUGUGGAUGGUACUUCCGGAGUAGAAGUAGCAUAUAUGAGUGAACGUGCAAGUGAAAUCUUGAUUUAACCACAUGACAAGCUCCUAAGGGUCAACACAGCUUGACCACACUCAAUGCUCAUAAGCAGUAAAUAAUAAAUGUGUGGCUCAAAGUCUAACAAGCAUGUAUAUAUGGCUGUGGUAGGAAUUUAAGCUCUCAUCAUAAAGGAACUCAUCAUGCAAUAUUUUAAAGAUUUUCAAAGAUAAAAUUCUCCAGAAUUCUAGCAUCUCUAGGAACAGAUAAACAGCAGCUCAACCUUCCCAUAUCGUAUCCGUUAACAACUUAGACUUUAGAUCAAGUUUUCAUCCCACAAGUUUAGGUCUAGAGCAAGCUUUAAAUUAUAACAGUUAUAUCUAAACUUGAGAGAGAACUUAAAAUUUGCAAAUUAGGUAGAGCAACUAUUUAUCUUAUCCAUGCUUAAGUUUUAUUUAGAUACAGAUUAGCAUAGCCACUUUAUUUAUUUAUUAAACACACUAAGCAAAAGAUAUAUAUAUAUAAGCAUAAAAUCUUUAUUUGGUUUUCC
RNAcentral lists this long non-coding RNA (1873 nucleotides) under Sorghum bicolor (sorghum). Its description in RNAcentral is "long non-coding RNA (SBIC_LNC000674)". Lineage: Eukaryota; Viridiplantae; Streptophyta; Magnoliopsida; Poales; Poaceae. The record is from RNAcentral.